AGAGUUUGAUCCUGGCUCAGGACGAACGCUGGCGGCGUGCCUAACACAUGCAAGUCGAGCGAUGAAGCCCUUCGGGGUGGAUUAGCGGCGGACGGGUGAGUAACACGUGGGUAACCUGCCUCAAAGAGGGGGAUAGCCUCCCGAAAGGGAGAUUAAUACCGCAUAACAUUAGUUUUUCGCAUGAAGAACUAAUUAAAGGAGUAAUCCGCUUUGAGAUGGACCCGCGGCGCAUUAGCUAGUUGGUGAGGUAAAGGCUCACCAAGGCGACGAUGCGUAGCCGACCUGAGAGGGUGAUCGGCCACAUUGGAACUGAGACACGGUCCAGACUCCUACGGGAGGCAGCAGUGGGGAAUAUUGCACAAUGGGCGAAAGCCUGAUGCAGCAACGCCGCGUGAGUGAUGAAGGCCUUCGGGUUGUAAAGCUCUGUCUUUUGGGACGAUAAUGACGGUACCAAAGGAGGAAGCCACGGCUAACUACGUGCCAGCAGCCGCGGUAAUACGUAGGUGGCGAGCGUUGUCCGGAUUUACUGGGCGUAAAGGAUGCGUAGGCGGAUAUUUAAGUGAGAUGUGAAAUACCCGAGCUUAACUUGGGUGCUGCAUUUCAAACUGGAUAUCUAGAGUGCGGGAGAGGAGAAUGGAAUUCCUAGUGUAGCGGUGAAAUGCGUAGAGAUUAGGAAGAACACCAGUGGCGAAGGCGAUUCUCUGGACCGUAACUGACGCUGAGGCAUGAAAGCGUGGGUAGCAAACAGGAUUAGAUACCCUGGUAGUCCACGCCGUAAACGAUGAGUACUAGGUGUAGGAGGGUCCACCUUCUGUGCCGCAGUUAACACAAUAAGUACUCCGCCUGGGAAGUACGAUCGCAAGAUUAAA
Molecule: ribosomal RNA, 869 nt
Filed under: uncultured bacterium
Lineage: Bacteria
Description: bacterial SSU rRNA
Rfam family: Bacterial small subunit ribosomal RNA
Source: RNAcentral